Coffea eugenioides is the source of this 1628-nucleotide long non-coding RNA. RefSeq lists it as uncharacterized. NCBI's taxonomy places the organism in Eukaryota, Viridiplantae, Streptophyta, Magnoliopsida, Gentianales, Rubiaceae. The record is from RefSeq and is a predicted model, not a curated record. The transcript is spliced from 3 exons.
UAUUCCUUUUCAUCAUUGCCUCUUUCUUCUUCUGCCUAAUGUCUCUUUCCUCUCUACUUGUCAUCAUCACUGAUCUUCUUGCUUCUUUUCUCCGUCUGACUUUUCUUUAUCUCCAACAACUCAUUUAUUGAGUCUCACAGAUUCAUGGUCCUUUUUUGCUCAAAGUAUGAAGUUCCAUAUUUUCUUGAUCUGUGUGGCCUCAUAUGUCAAAUGAUCAGAGGAGCUCCAAAACCAAUAAGCAAAAGCCAGAACCCCAGCUACUCUGCUGCAGCAACAAACUAGCCAAUUGCCCAAAAUAAAUAACUCAGCCUUGAAACGCCAAGUCAUGGAACCUUCUGAUUCUCCUUCUGCUCCUCUUAAUCAUUUUGCAGCAAUUAUUAUAGGCAACAACGAGGAAAUCUUAAAGCAUCUUUUACUUCACUUAGCCCCAAAAUCCCUCAUUCGAUUUCAACCCGUCUCCAAGCAAUGGCAUUCUCGAUUUUAUCCCACCACCACAAAGACAACUUCCUCCUCUGGCACUGCUGCAGACUCUGGAGCCUUUGUUUUCAUCCACCACAAGCGGGGGACAGGCUUAAUUUCAUUUCCUUCCACCAAGAAAAUGCAAGUUCAGUGGGUACCACAGUUUCCAACUUGAGCAAUUUCAUUUCCUUUCAAGAUGGGCAGUUUCAGGAUUUCAUUAUUGCAAUGGGUUAUUAGUUCUUGUGUUUCAAUCAAAAGAUGAUGGUCACAAAGACUUUCUUGUGUAUAACCCUACUAGCAGUCAGCAGAGGCAUAUUCCAAGGAUCAAUCUAUUGGAAAGGGAACGUUGCUUUGUGGCUCUGAACAUUGUGUUUCAUCCCAUAGAAUCUGAUGGCUACAAAGUUGUCUGUGUAUGGUCAGAACGUUACAUGCCAAGGAAUGACAUGAGUCGAACCCCUUUAAGGAGAUAUGGAUUCUCUAUAUAUUCAUCUGAAACUGGGACUUGGAAGGACACUAAGGCCAUAAAUGGGAGGGACUUUGUGUAUAUUUAUUUCAUGAAUGGAAUGUUGUGUAAUGGUGAUCUUCAUUGGGUAAGUGGUAGGAGGGAGACUUUAUGCUUUGAUUUAGAUAAAGAAUGCCUUAACUUAACAGUGCCUUCUCCUCGUAUGCAUCAUAGUGAGUCGGAUAUUUGGUACUUUGGAGUGUCUUGAAGCUGUUUGUAUCUUAUUGAGGUCAAUUGCCCACAAGCGCUGUUGUUCGACAUUUUUGAGUUGAAAGGGGACUAUUCUGAAUGGGUUUUGAAGUGUCAAACAGACCUCACUCCUGUUACAACUUCGUAUCCUUCAGUGGUGGAUGAAGUUUCUGGUCCGUUUGGUGAUGGUCGAUGCAGAUUUUGUAUAACUUGUUUUCGUGAGAAUGAUGAGAAAAAGCCGAGGCUUCUGAUUUCUCCAUGGACUCUAGUUAAAAUCCUCACAAGCUUUUUGAUGAAAAGUCAACCCAUAACCUCAAUUUUCCAAAUUCUUUGGUGAUGUGCCUUUGCAUUGCAAUUUGCAUAUCCCCAUCCCUAAUUGAUGUUCUGAUUUUAGUUUUUGCAAAUUUUUAAUUUCCGAUUUGGAAAUCUUUAUCAGUUGUUAAUUUCUUUUACACGAAUCUAGUGGCUAGUUGGGGUU